UUUAAGUGCUAGGGGUGCCUUAUGGCUGAGAAAUGAUAAUUCAUUAACCCUCUUUACCUGAUCUGGAUAAUACCAGCGUAGGAAAGUCACGAUGUACUUUU
Molecule: regulatory RNA element, 101 nt
Organism: Clostridium sp. 7_2_43FAA
Lineage: Bacteria; Bacillati; Bacillota; Clostridia; Eubacteriales; Clostridiaceae
Rfam family: TPP riboswitch aptamer (THI element)
About the family: Vitamin B(1) in its active form thiamin pyrophosphate (TPP) is an essential coenzyme that is synthesised by coupling of pyrimidine and thiazole moieties in bacteria.
Source: Rfam